This is a non-coding RNA of Aedes albopictus (Asian tiger mosquito), 73 nucleotides long. The record is from Rfam. Lineage: Eukaryota; Metazoa; Arthropoda; Insecta; Diptera; Culicidae.
UGUUCUGUGGCUUAGUUGGUUAAAGCGCCGGACUAGCGAUAGGAAGUCGUGGGUUGGAAUCCCAUCAAAACAA